UUAAUUGAAGCCAAAAUAGAGGCCUUUCAUUGUUAAUGAAAAAAAUGACCUUAAGUCCAAUUAAA
Molecule: transfer RNA, 65 nt
Filed under: Hospesneotomae barberi
Lineage: Eukaryota; Metazoa; Arthropoda; Insecta; Hemiptera; Reduviidae
Description: Triatoma barberi tRNA-Asn
Source: RNAcentral